GAUGAACGCUGGCGGCGUGCUUAACACAUGCAAGUCGAACGGUGAACAUGGAGCUUGCUCUGUGGGAUCAGUGGCGAACGGGUGAGUAACACGUGAGCAACCUGCCCCAGUCUCUGGGAUAAGCGCUGGAAACGGCGUCUAAUACUGGAUAUGAGUUCCUGCCGCAUGGUGGGGGUUGGAAAGAUUUUAUCGGUCUGGGAUGGGCUCGCGGCCUAUCAGCUUGUUGGUGAGGUAAUGGCUCACCAAGGCGUCGACGGGUAGCCGGCCUGAGAGGGUGACCGGCCACACUGGGACUGAGACACGGCCCAGACUCCUACGGGAGGCAGCAGUGGGGAAUAUUGCACAAUGGGCGCAAGCCUGAUGCAGCAACGCCGCGUGAGGGAUGACGGCCUUCGGGUUGUAAACCUCUUUUGGCAGGGAAGAAGCCUUCGGGUGACGGUACCUGCAGAAAAAGCACCGGCUAACUACGUGCCAGCCGCCGCAGUAAAA
Molecule: ribosomal RNA, 489 nt
Filed under: uncultured bacterium
Lineage: Bacteria
Description: bacterial SSU rRNA
Rfam family: Bacterial small subunit ribosomal RNA
Source: RNAcentral